Molecule: small nuclear RNA, 19 nt
Filed under: Arabidopsis thaliana (thale cress)
Lineage: Eukaryota; Viridiplantae; Streptophyta; Magnoliopsida; Brassicales; Brassicaceae
Description: snRNA_13616
Source: RNAcentral
CAAAGGGAUCGCAUUGAUC